Molecule: long non-coding RNA, 428 nt
Filed under: Olea europaea subsp. europaea
Lineage: Eukaryota; Viridiplantae; Streptophyta; Magnoliopsida; Lamiales; Oleaceae
Source: RNAcentral
GUGUACUUUCUCUUCCUUUCCCUUUCCCUUUCUCUUCUCCGCCUUUCAACAUGUUUGAUUUGUUGAGAUGUUGACGUCUCCUGUUGGUGAUCGGUAAGAUUUGGACUUGCAUGGGGAGAGACAUUUUGCUGCAUGGAACCUAUAAUGGCUUCCAUGUUGGAUUUCCAGUUAGAUAAUCUGUUCUACAUAUUCUCAUUAUAUUCGUCAAUGUAUGAUCUCACGGAACAUAAACUGGAAUACACAUAACACCUCAUUUGCACUUGUUGCUAUUGGAAUAAUUCUUCUUGUCUUUGCAAAACUGUCUGAUAAUGGGCUACUUGUGUUUACUAUUCCUGGAACAUAUGACUCUGAAACAAACCAGAUAGAGAAUUAUCUAUGUACGAAUGUGAAUCAUGUUGCAUGUAAUCUUGCAACGAUUUGGUUUGUUG